UACGUAGGGUGCAAGCGUUGUCCGGAAUUAUUGGGCGUAAAGAGCUCGUAGGCGGUUUGUCGCGUCUGCUGUGAAAACUCGGGGCUUAACCCCGGGCCUGCAGUGGGUACGGGCAGACUAGAGUGCGGUAGGGGAGACUGGAAUUCCUGGUGUAGCGGUGAAAUGCGCAGAUAUCAGGAGGAACACCGGUGGCGAAGGCGGGUCUCUGGGCCGUAACUGGCGCUGAGGAGCGAAAGCGUGGGGAGCGAACAGG
RNAcentral lists this ribosomal RNA (253 nucleotides) under uncultured bacterium. RNAcentral describes it as "partial 16S ribosomal RNA". It matches the Rfam family "Bacterial small subunit ribosomal RNA", at positions 524 to 776 of the family's 1533-position model. The record is from RNAcentral.